CUGCUUUUGUACCGGAAUAAACCUUGAUUCGUGAAUCAAGCUGAAUGUACGGUAAGAAUAAGGAUCGGCUAACUCCGUGCCAGCAGCCGCGGUAAUACGGAGGAUCCAAGCGUUAUCCGGAUUUAUUGGGUUUAAAGGGUGCGUAGGCGGCCAGUUAAGUCAGGGGUGAAAGACGGUAGCUCAACUAUCGCAGUGCCUUUGAUACUGACUGGCUUGAAUGUACUUGAGGUAGGCGGAAUGUGACAAGUAGCGGUGAAAUGCAUAGAUAUGUCACAGAACACCAAUUGCGAAGGCAGCUUACUAAAGUAUGAUUGACGCUGAGGCACGAAAGCGUGGGGAUCAAACAGGAUUAGAUACCCUGGUAGUCCACGCCCU
RNAcentral lists this ribosomal RNA (375 nucleotides) under bacterium Fuku2-ISO-85. Its description in RNAcentral is "bacterial SSU rRNA". It matches the Rfam family "Bacterial small subunit ribosomal RNA", at positions 430 to 803 of the family's 1533-position model. The record is from RNAcentral.